Molecule: ribosomal RNA, 253 nt
Filed under: uncultured bacterium
Lineage: Bacteria
Description: partial 16S ribosomal RNA
Rfam family: Bacterial small subunit ribosomal RNA
Source: RNAcentral
UACGAAGGGGGCUAGCGUUGCUCGGAAUCACUGGGCGUAAAGCGCACGUAGGCGGCUUUCUAAGUCAGGGGUGAAAUCCUGGAGCUCAACUCCAGAACUGCCUUUGAUACUGCCGUGCUUGAGGACUGGAGAGGAGACUGGAAUUUACGGUGUAGCGGUGAAAUGCGUAGAUAUCGUAAGGAAGACCAGUGGCGAAGGCGGGUCUCUGGACAGUUCCUGACGCUGAGGCACGAAGGUCAGGGGAGCAAACGGG